This 484-nucleotide ribosomal RNA is filed under the name Burkholderia sp. 'ARUP UnID 173'. RNAcentral describes it as "bacterial SSU rRNA". It matches the Rfam family "Bacterial small subunit ribosomal RNA", at positions 27 to 504 of the family's 1533-position model. The record is from RNAcentral. Lineage: Bacteria; Pseudomonadati; Pseudomonadota; Betaproteobacteria; Burkholderiales; Burkholderiaceae.
GAUUGAACGCUGGCGGCAUGCCUUACACAUGCAAGUCGAACGGCAGCACGGGGGCAACCCUGGUGGCGAGUGGCGAACGGGUGAGUAAUACAUCGGAACGUGUCCUGUAGUGGGGGAUAGCCCGGCGAAAGCCGGAUUAAUACCGCAUACGAUCUGUGGAUGAAAGCGGGGGAUCCUUCGGGACCUCGCGCUACAGGGGCGGCCGAUGGCAGAUUAGCUAGUUGGUGGGGUAAAGGCCUACCAAGGCGACGAUCUGUAGCUGGUCUGAGAGGACGACCAGCCACACUGGGACUGAGACACGGCCCAGACUCCUACGGGAGGCAGCAGUGGGGAAUUUUGGACAAUGGGCGAAAGCCUGAUCCAGCAAUGCCGCGUGUGUGAAGAAGGCCUUCGGGUUGUAAAGCACUUUUGUCCGGAAAGAAAACCUCGUGGUUAAUACCCGUGGGGGAUGACGGUACCGGAAGAAUAAGCACCGGCUAACUAC